This 275-nucleotide long non-coding RNA is filed under the name Carica papaya (papaya). RNAcentral's name for it is "long non-coding RNA (CPAP_LNC016635)". Lineage: Eukaryota; Viridiplantae; Streptophyta; Magnoliopsida; Brassicales; Caricaceae. The record is from RNAcentral.
UAAAUCAUAUGGAAGUUUCCUUGUUUUAAUGUGUUAAAAACUCAUACCUAAGGUGUAACGACCCUGGAAAUUUAAAAAAAGGAAAUGUAUGUAAAAAUUUUGAAUGCGGAAGCGAAAUAAAAAGUUCUGAUUAAUAUCCCUUACACAAUAACUGAAACGUACUAACAAUAUGAAAGAAUAAUUUAACUAAAAGAAAUACUAGAAAUGAAAUACUAUAAGGAAAACUAUAAAAUAUUUAGGCAUCUACUCGCCGUCUUCCUGCGGAAUGGGCUCGG